This 468-nucleotide ribosomal RNA is filed under the name uncultured bacterium. Its description in RNAcentral is "partial 16S ribosomal RNA". It matches the Rfam family "Bacterial small subunit ribosomal RNA", at positions 28 to 507 of the family's 1533-position model. The record is from RNAcentral.
GACGAACGCUGGCGGCGUGCUUAACACAUGCAAGUCGAACGGGAAGUCCCUGCUUUUGUGGUGUGCUCGAGGGGCGAACGUGUGGGUAACGCGGGAGUAACCUGCCCUGGACUUUGUGAUACCUUCAGGAAACUGGGGCUAAUACCGGAUAGUAGCUCCUGCUUCAUGGUGGGGGUUGGAAAGUUUCGGCGGUUGGGGAUGGACUCGCGGCUGAUCAGCUUGUUGGUGGGGGAGUGGCUUACCAAGUCUUUGACGGCUAGCCGGCCUGAGAGGGUGACCGGCCACAGUGGGACUGAGAUACGGCCCAGACUCAUACGGGAGGGAGCAGUGGGGAAUAUUGCAAAAUGGGAGGAAGCCUGAUGCAGAAACGGCGCGUGCGGGAUGACGGCCUUGGGGUUGGAAACCGCUUUCGCCUGUGACGAAGAGUGAGUGACGGUAAUGGGUAAAGAAGCACCGGCUAACUAAGUG